AACGAACGCUGGCGGCAUGCCUAACACAUGCAAGUCGAACGAGACCUUCGGGUCUAGUGGCGCACGGGUGCGUAACGCGUGGGGAUCUGCCCUUUGCUUCGGAAUAACAGUUAGAAAUGACUGCUAAUACCGGAUGAUGACUUCGGUCCAAAGAUUUAUCGGCAAAGGAUGAACCCGCGUAGGAUUAGCUAGUUGGUGGGUAAAGGCCUACCAAGGCGACGAUCCUUAGCUGGUCUGAGAGGAUGAUCAGCCACACUGGGACUGAGACACGGCCCAGACUCCUACGGGAGGCAGCAGUGGGGAAUAUUGGACAAUGGGCGAAAGCCUGAUCCAGCAAUGCCGCGUGAGUGAUGAAGGCCUUAGGGUUGUAAAGCUCUUUACCCGGGAUGAUAAUGACAGUACCGGGAGAAUAAGCUCCGGCUAACUCCGUGCCAGCAGCCGCGGUAAU
This 448-nucleotide ribosomal RNA is filed under the name uncultured bacterium. Its description in RNAcentral is "bacterial SSU rRNA". It matches the Rfam family "Bacterial small subunit ribosomal RNA", at positions 29 to 524 of the family's 1533-position model. The record is from RNAcentral.